This 910-nucleotide long non-coding RNA is filed under the name Marmota monax (woodchuck). Lineage: Eukaryota; Metazoa; Chordata; Mammalia; Rodentia; Sciuridae. The record is from RNAcentral.
GCUGAUAAGGACUGAAAGGGGGGGAUCAAAAGCCCCAAAACUUGGUAUAAGUAAUAGAGCAAAUGAACAGACAUUCAGCCGGCUGACACUGAUGCCCUCAGCUGAGAACCUGAUGAGGACCUGGACUGACACCCCAACACUUUUCAUCGUUUGCUGAUCCUCUGCAUCUUCCUCUCUGCUCUCGAACUCUACAGCCACAUCUUGACCCUGGUGAGAGCCACAACUUCUCCUUAGGACACUCUCCUCCACCAGCUCCACCCCAAGAGAAGUCGGCCUUGGUUCCUGACCUGAUCACUGUGGUCUGAGCGAGGGUCAUCUGCUGGACUUAGAGCCUAAGGCUUGAGACAUUUGAACUGACACUUGAACUUAGCACGCGGAGGGAAUGUCUGUCGUGAGCCUGUCAGGGUGUGUUUGCAGUGCUCAGAAUUAAUUAAUCUAGAAUUGUUCACUGUGGAUUAAUUAAUUGAGAAUUGCUAGCUGUGAAUUGAUGAUGUCUAUUGCAGUGCCUAGCAUUACGGAUUGUCGUUUUCUUGACUAAGAACCUAUAGAGUGAAAUUGUAGUGAGUGAUCUGAGUGAAUAAAGCAUGGACUAGGGCAGAAGCACGUGGAUGUUCUAUAUUUCUCCCCCUCGACUGCAUACGUCACAGCUUUUGCCCAUCGUGACAUCCCAUCACCAGCCCAACCUGAGCAGGCCAGCAGCCUCUGCUCAGCAUCGGCUUGAACGCAGCCAGUCACCAUGCCCCAGGCCACGCAGCAACAGAUGACUGUCACACUAAGAAGUGACACAUAGCAUGUCCUCUCAGGUCUCAUGGGCCCAGCGGGCCACCCAACUACAAAGAGACUGAAAUUGCAAUCCUGCUUCAUUCCUGUCUGGAAAAGGAAAAGGAAACUCCGCAAAGAGACUGUCCUG